This 17424-nucleotide long non-coding RNA is filed under the name Nicotiana tabacum (common tobacco). RNAcentral describes it as "long non-coding RNA (NTAB_LNC017862)". The record is from RNAcentral. Lineage: Eukaryota; Viridiplantae; Streptophyta; Magnoliopsida; Solanales; Solanaceae.
UUGGAAUACAAGACACGCACACACACAUACACAAAAAAGGGGAACGAACGGGGAUUUUCUGGGCAGGAAACAAAACAAAACAAACAAAAAGAGACGAGCAAAAAAAACAGAGAGAGAGAGAGAGAGAUGAGCUAGCAAAAAUCACAAAAAAUUUGUUCUUCUUCUUCUUCACCUUUUUCCUACACCUUAAACUGCCAUGGAAAUGCAGCCCCAGUAGCUCCACAAUGCACCAACAAAACAGUCUACUUCCACCAUUAAAAAAUCAGUGGAAGCUCUCGUCUUCAUUCACCACAUAAACCUGCCAGAAAACUCCAUAAAGAGCCUUGUAACUCCAUGAAAAUCAGUGAAAUAGAGCUUCUUCCUCAACCAACAAGAACAUUAGCUCUCAGCCAUGUGAAGCCACCGAAUACCACCUCAAAUCACCCCAAACCAUCCCCUGUUUACUGCUAAAUCCCAACUUCAAUACACAGCAAAAGCUGUUGCCAAGGUUACCUGAAAAAGAAAAAGAAAUCCGUUUGAGCUCAAGUUCGAAGCAUUCUCGUCCAAGUUCGUCGUUUGAGGUUCGAAUUCUCAGCCGAUGUUCCAUCAUCAGCGAGGUGUCCGAUCUAAGAUUAGUGAGAUUUUUGGGCAGGUUCUUCGCUUCAGGUCGAGUUCUCCAUUUUUUUGGGACUGUCGUCUAAUUUCAUGUAAGUUGGUUUGGAGUUUUCGGCUGAAUAAAGGUUCCUUUUUCUUCUCUAAUAUGUUUCUUAGUUCAUGAUAUCUGUUGCGAUUUUGGUUGUCUUAUGAAAGUUAGAUGAAUAUUCUUAUUAGUAGUUGAUUACAGCAUGCCUAAAUCAUGAAAUCGCUUGAGAAUUUCUAUGGGGUCGAUGUAUAUUUUAGUGUUAUGAAUUUAGAAUCAAUGUGUACUGAUAGGAAGGUAUUGUUUCAUUUAUUAAAUUUGAGAUAAAACUAAUUGAAAUGUAUUAAGGAAAAUAAAUAACGUUUGCAAACAGAGAUUGAAAAGCAAGGUUUGGACUUAGCGAAAAGGAUUUGGGGCGUUGGAUGGAUUCACAUUUAAGAAGGAAUGUGUUAUUAUGAUUAUUGGGCCAUCUGAUACUUGGUCCAAAGUAGCAGGUAAGGAAUCCCAACGUGGUAUAUCCAUAUACUAAGACCAUUUUCGUAAAUAAUAAUUUAUCUUCUCAUACCAAAACAUUUCUAACACGAUAGCAUGCUUUAAGCACACUCUUAAUUAAUUAAAUUAUCGUGAUUAUGUAUAUGUUUGCGAGACAUAAUUAUGAUUUCAUCAUUAAAACCAAAGUAUGUGUUCGCGCAGUUUUGGAGAAAACAAUCUUAAUAAUAAUAAAAUAUUAUUGAUUGUGUACACGUUCGUGUGACACGAGUACAAUUUAAAAAUAAAUAUUCGUAUAAAAUGCUUUAGGCGCGACUUAAUCUAUCAUCGUGAUUGUGUACAAGUUCACGUGACAUAAUUGCAAUUUUUAAAAUAAAUCAAGGUAUGCAUUCGCGCAACUUUGGGACAAACAAUCUUAAUAAUAAUAAAGUGUUAUUAGUUGUGUACAUGUAUGCGUGAUAUGACUUUGACACACGAAACAAAACGAGUACACGUACACGUGACCCGUUUCGAGAUAAUUCCAUAAUUCAAUAAUCAAGCAAUUAAAAGCGGUUAAAAGGGUAAAAACACAUAGGUUUAAAAAUAAGUAUUUAAAAUAAUUUAAUUAAGCCAGGUAUGAUCAAAGAGACCAUGCUAAAACCACAGAAAUCAGGAGUGCCUAACACCUUCUCCCGGGUUAAUAGAAUUCCUUACCUGGUCUUCUAGUUUAGCAGACUUUAAAACAGAGUCAAAUUUCCUCGAUCUGAGAUUUAAAAUAAACCGGUGACUUGGGACACCAUAAAUUAUUUCAAGUGGAGACUUUGAAUAAAUAAAUAAUCCCAUUUCAAUUAAUAUCACUUUAAUUGGAAAAAUUCCCUUAUGUCCCUUUCGGGUAAAAAGGAGGUGUGACAGCUUAGGCGACUCUACUGGGGAUCGAACCCAGAAUCUCUGGUUCAGGGUUGAAGAAUUCGAACUUAUUAUUGUGAUUUUUACUUGGUUUUAUUUAUUGUUGAUAUUACUGUAUUUUGUGGGCCUAAUAUGCUAAUUGUCGCUUAUUUACCGCUUUGAUAUUGUUUGAACUGUAUUAAAUUGUCUUCUUACGCCUCCCUUCUGAGUCUUCUAAAAAUAGUGCACACAUAUGUGUGGCUUGAUUUUCUGUUAAAAGUCGUACCAAAUAGAACGAGGAUGGAUCAGUCACUAGGCCAGGUAGACUUUCGUGCUCCCAGUACGUCGCUCCCACCUAGACUCAAGUUGUCUGCUUGGGUAGGUCAAGUCUAAAACACAACUCUAGAUUUAAAUCUAGAAUAACAUAACCUCAUACCGGAUUCCUAGUAGGAACGUUUGUUUGCAUCACAUGCAUUUGACUUUGGAGACUCAACACAGGGGUUGGGUCCGUCUAGGACAGGUGUACCCAAAAUGAAAGAUCAUCCUGAUGCAUCUUACGUGCUAUUUGUAAAUUUAUUUGUUUCGGUUUGUAUGUUGAUCGGCUAAGGAAAGAAAAAUAGAAGAAAAACCAAGAGUGAGGUAGGAUAGAGAAUUCACCCGGUUCUGAAAAUUCCGGUAUUUGAAAAUGCCUCGAAUCUCUGCCAAAAUUUUUGGAAAAAAAAGAGGAAAAUAAAAUGUAUUUCAAAGAAUGAAAGUGAGUCAAUAUCAUGUUUUUUCCAAUUCUGUCAAAAGUGACCGAACUACACAGGCCCGAUUCUCACCUGAUGUGAGAUACAUAGGCAAACCUCAUCGGUUCUGGCCCACAAUUUUUAAAAAAAAUCCAAAAAUAUUUUUCUUUACUUACUUCUUUAGAAAGUCUUUCUUUAGAUCCCAAUUUUUAAGAAUACAAAAAUAUUUUCUUUUAAUUUCUUCUCAAAAUCCAAAAGUAUUUUCAUUCUUCUUUCAAAAUUUGAAAAGAAAAUUCAAGAUUCAAAAAUAUUUCCUUUUUCUUUAGAAGCAUUUCUUUCAUAAAUUUAAAAUAAAAUUUCAAAAAAUUCAAAAAUAUUUCCUUUCUUCUUUAAAAGUUUUUCUUUCGAAAAUUCAAAAAAAAAGAAAGAGAAAAAAAGUCAAAAUUCAAAAAAAAAUAUUUUCUUUCUUCUUUAAAAGUCUUUCUUUUCAAAAAUUUUAAAAAGAAACAACAAACAAACAAAUCGAAAUCCAAAAAUAUUUUGUUUCUUCUUUUCAAGUCUUUCUUUCGUAAAAAGUUCAAAAUCCAAAAAAAGAGUUAGUUUAUUUACUUUAUUCCUAAUUUUCCCGAACUACGCAAAGAUUUGAUUCAUGAGGCGUCAUGAUACGUAGGCAACCUACAUCAGGUUCGAUCGAAUAGUUUAAAAGAAAAAAAAAGAAACAAAAGAAAAAGAGAGAGAAUAAAGAAAAGAAAAAAGAAGAAGAAGAAGAAAAAGAGUGACCAUUCUAACAUGUUGUUUGUUUUGAAUUGUGAAGAAAGUUUGAGGUGGUCGGUAUGUGGUAAGCUAUCAACACAUCCAUUAUUCACAAGAUCCAAGGGAAAAAUACCAAUGACAACUGACAUCGAAGCUGUUACUAGUGUUCAAGAGACUCAUGGUGAGAGGGUUCAACAAAAAUCUAUUGUGGUUAAGGAAAAUAGGGUACUAAAGAAACAAAUGACUGAAAUGUGUCAAGCAUGGGCCAAUGGCUAAGGACCGCCCUUUUUUUCUCAUGGUUUCCCAGAGUUCACACCCAUCUCAACUACUGCCAUGCCGGUCUCAUUGUCUGAUCAAUCCUAUCCACCUGGGUUCAGUCAUUAUCCCAAAUGUACGACUACACCUGAAACUUCUAUUAUGCACUCCCAAAGUUUGCUAUUGACAACUAAUCGGACAACCACUAUUGUUAUGCUCGUCUUCACCAUCCCACAACCGAUGGUGGUGUAGAAGAAAACUCAUGAGUCAUAAUUUUCUACCCAGCAAGAGCAUUACCACUCUCCUAAGUACCACUCAUACUUGUUUGAUCUUCUUGCAAACAUUGAGAAGCCUGCCCGAAAGAUGGCACAGGAAGAAAUGACCCAAAGACUGAAAAGCUUAAAACAACAGUUGAAAACAUGUAAGGGUUGGCAGGUUAGAAGAGUAUUGCCUUCAAGGAUCUAUGUAUGUUCCCCGAUGUUCGUUUGCUACUUAGUUUCAAGAUCCCCAAAUUUUAAAAGUAUGAUGGACAUGGAGACCCAAUAGCCCACCUGAAAAGGUAUUGCAAUCAGCUAAGAGGUACUGGAAGAAAUGAAGAAUUUCUAAUAGCUUAUUUUGUGGAAAGCCUUAAGGGAGUAGCCUCCGAAUGGUUUAUGGAUCAAAACACCUCUCAUUGGCAUGUNNNNNNNNNNNNNNNNNNNNNNNNNCUGGGAUGACAUGGCCUGGGCCUUUGUCAAACAGUUCUAAUAAAACAUCGACAUUGCACCAGACCACAAUUCCCUUUCAAACCUGAAGAAGAAACCAAUUGAAAGUUUCAGGGAAUAUGCCACUUAAUGGAGAGAGCAAGCGACUAGAGUUAAGCCACCCAUGGAUGACCACGAGCUAAUCACUAUAUUCCUUCAGGCGGAAGAGCCAGAUUACUUUAAAAACAUGAUGUCCGCAGUUGGCAAAUCCUUCUCGGAAGCAAUCAAAAUGGGAGAAAUGGUAGAGAUUGGCCUUAAGACAGGUAGAAUUAUAAGUCAAGCAACUCUCAAAGCUGCAACUCAGUCUGUCCAAAUUGAAUCUAGUAAUUUUAGUGAAACGAAUGAUAAGGUUGAAGAAAUCAUGAUGACAUUAGGGUUGAGAAGAGGUCCUAGGAGAAUAGCUCGAAGGUAUGACCAGCCUCGUCUAUAUUUUGAUGAUUCCCUUGAGCACUACUAUCCACCUCAGAACCCACAAUACUCUAUUGCUCCACCCCAGUAUGUUGUCCAGCCACCAAGACACCCCACAAGGCGAGCACCAGCACCGCAAAAUCUUCACCAGCCUCUACAAAAUUUUCAAGUGCCCUAUAACCUACAUCCAAGCCAGGGGUAUAGAGGGGAACAAAGGUUGAAAGAUAAUUUUACACCAAUAGGAGAGUCCUAUGCAAGAGUAUUUGAGAAGUUAAAGCAUUAUGACAUGAUUGCACCCAUUCCUCCAAAUCAUGUGGACCCACGUGAAAGAAGCUUUGACUCUUCUAAAAGGUGUAAAUAUCAUUCCAAUGCCCAUGGGCACAAUGUUGAAAGCUGUUGGAUUUGAAAAGAUAAAUAGAAAGGAUGAUCCAGGAAAAAUUGAUUGUGAUCCAAGAUAGUGACACCCAGAAUAUCACGCAGAAUCCUUUACCUGCACAUGAUGAUGCACACUUUGUGGGGAUGAUGUGUGGUGACAUGGAGAAUGAGAAUCCUCUCGAGAACUUGCCAACCAAAAUUGGAGAAGGCCAUGGUGAUUCUGAUAAGCAAAUUUGUGGCUAAAUGUCAAGCUUAACAAUUGAAAAGUCAUUCCUUUCUCACUAGGAAGGAAUCUUGGUAGCUUGUUUUGAUUUUUUCUAUUAUCGGGGUUAUUUCAGGGUUGUGAUCCAAAUGUUAUUUGUUUUAUUGAGUCAGACCCUUCUAUCCUUCCAUUCUGUUUGUGUGAGUCUUGUCCGUUUGUUCUGUUGCUAUUUUCAUCAUCUGGGUUAUUUUAGGGUUGUAACUCGGAUCUUAGGUUGUUUGUCUUGUUGUUUACUCAAUGAAAUACAGUUUGUCCUUUUGUGUCAUUCCGUGCUUAGUUCUUUUUCGCUAGUUUAGUGACAUGACAUGCAUGUAAAAUUUUUGGCCAGAUCUUAGAAAACUGAUUUAGUCUUGAAUUGGAUAAUUGAUAAAAAGACACUUUUGAGGAUGAAAAAGAGUUAAAAUACCUUGAAAUUAAGACCGAGUAAAAUUCAAGUGGUACUAUAAUAGUCAUACUCGUGGAGGUUAAGGAUAUUUACCUUCAUAGUCAUUGUGAAGAUCGGGUUGAGGAAUAAUCAAUUGAAGUUUGUUGGAAAGUUUGACAUUAAUUGAUGGAAAGCGUCUUGUGACCACGAUACACCAAGAAGACAGACAUGUUCAUCAAUGCUGUAAUCGCGAAAAUAUACUAUGUUUGGCAUUCUCGAGGUUGAGAGGCCCUUUUUUCUGCUACCCAAAUACUUUAUAUCCUUUGUUACCCCUUUUGAGCCUGUGUUAUUUUCUUUGACCACUCUAUUUUGGAAUCAAGUUUAGAGUUAAAAGUCUAAUAAAAAAUAAAAAUGGAAAAAUGAUGAAAAAACGUCCAUACCCCAAGUGUACAAACUGGGGCAGCUUUUAGAAAAUUCAAGUGAAAAAAUGAAGAAGAAAAGAAUUUUCUGUAACGACCCGACCGGUCGUUUUAUGAGUUACCACUCCGUUUCUCCCAUUUCUACUUCUUUAUGUCUUGUUCAGCUGUAUUAUGUGGUAUUGGGGUGGUUGUUCUGCUGUAUUAUGUGGUAUUAGAGAAUGAGACACUUCGUCUCUUUUGAGUAAGCUUAAAUUGGAAAAGUCAAUCGGAUGUUGACUUAUGUGAACAAGGUCUCGGAUGUGAAUUCCGAUAGUUUGUAUAGCUUUGUUAGGUGAUUUGGUAGUUAGGUUCGUGAUUAGAAUGUAUUUUGGAGGUCAGUGGCAGAUUCAGGCUUGAAUUGGCGAAAUUAGAAUUUUAACAUUUUCCGGUUGGUAGUGGAAAUUUUGAUAUUGGGGUUGGAAUGGAAUUCUAGAAAUUGGGUAGGUCCGUUGUGUUAUUUUGUGAUGUGUGUGCAAAAGUUUAGAUCAUUCGGGCGAGGUUUGAUAGACUUUUUGAUCAAAAGCGGAAUUUGGAAGUUUUGGAAUUCUUAGGCUUGAAUCUGAGGGAAUUUGAUGUUUUGAUGUUGUUUUGAGCGUUCCAAAGGUUAGAAUAUGUUUGAAUGAUGUUAUGGGAUGUGUUGGAAUGUUUAGUUGAGGUCCCAAUGGCCUCGGGUGAGUUUUGGGUGGUUAACAAACCAAUUCUUGGUUUUGGGGAGUUGCAGAUUUUCUGGUUUUUGUUGCAAAGGAAAUUGUUCUUCGCGUUCGUGAAGAAGCGCUGGACCUAGAGGAGAAAAUGUUCUUUGCGUUCGCGAGCCUGGGGUCAUGUUUGCGUAGGUUUGGAUUCCAUUGAAUCGCGAAUGCGUGAGAGGAGUCCCGUUCGCGUAGGGUAAUUGGAGCAGCUGGGACCCCAUGAGUUUUUUGCUUUGCAUUCGCGUAGGUAAGGUCGCGUUCGCGAAGGCUUGGACAGUUGAAGCUUCGCAUUCGCGUGAAGGGAGUGGCGUUCAUGAAAGAGGAAUAUUUGGUCAAUGAGUUUUUGUACUUUGCGAAUGCGAGGCUUUGAGCGCGUUCGUGAAAAAGGAAUUAAUGCCUGGGCAGAAUGUUUAAAUAGUUGCCUUUGCGAUCUUUGGUACAUUUUCUCCAUUGUUGAACGGUUUGAAGCUUUUUGAGAGGGAUUAAAGAGGGAAUCAAAGCGAAACACUUGGAUGUAAGAUUUUGGAACUCAAUACUGGAUUCUAUGGUGAUUUCUACCUAAUUAAACAUGAAAUUAGUGAGAUUUAAAGCCUAAAUUUGGGGAAUUAGGUCUUGAAAUUGGAGACUUUGAUUUAAGGAUUUGAGGGGUCAUUAGUGGUCGGAUUUUGAUGUAUUUGGUAUAUAUGAACUCAUGAGAGUGUAAGGAUUCUAGUUUUGUAAUUUUUAUCGGAAUCCGAGACGUGGGCCUAGGGGUUGGGUUUGACCAAUUUUGGAAUUUUUGAUAUAAUUCGAUUAUUUUCGCUUGGGCUUUGUUCAUUUAGUGCGUAUUAAUGGUAUGAUACUAAUUUUGGUUAGAUUUGGGGCAAUUGGAGGACGAUUCGAGGGGCAAAGGCAUUGCGGGCUAGAGUUUGUAUCGGAUUGAUGUAAGUAAUGAUUGUAAAUGUUGUCUUAAGGGUAUGAAACCCCAGAUUUCACAUCGUUAUGCUACUUUGAGGUGACACACACAUCAGAUGACGAGCGUAGGGUUGUGCACCAUUGGGGAUUGUGACUUGUUCCGUCCCGUACGAAUAUUAAGUCGCGUAUUUGAUUGAAAACUGUUUGAAAUCAUUGUGUUUUGGAAAGUAUUACUAUGUUUUGGGCUAAAUGCCAUAUUUGGGCCUCGUGCCAAUUGUUUGGACCCUUAGGGUUUUUUUUACUACUAUUCCUCACUAUUCUGACCUCAUAUUUGUACUCAGUGAUGUUGUAUUCUACUGUUUUCAUACCUCAGCCGUAUUUACUCUGUUUUGACAUUUUAAAUGAUGUGUUGGGCUGAGCAUCAUGAUUUACUGUUGCCCGAAUAGCUUGAGAGGUUUCUAACUGAGUGAGGCCGAGGGCCUGUGUUGUGAGGAUUGUUAUGGGAUCGGGCUACGCACCGCAACAUGUGUACUGAUGUGUGAUAUAUGAGAGUCCGAUGGACUGAUUUGUUAUGCCACAAGAUGGCUUGUGGUAGCGCUUGGGCUGUAUGAGCCCCUUUGGAGUCUGAACACCCCCAGUGAGUGCGGGUACCCAGUUUGAGAGAUGUGAUAUUGCCCAAGGGGCUGAUGUUGUUUCAUGUUGUUGCCCGAGGGGCUGAUUACGAGUGAUUGUAAGGUAGCCCGGGGGCUUGGUUUCUGUUGAUAUUUUUCCCGAGGGGCAGUUGUGGUACAUGUUUUGCCCAAAGGGUUGUUUACGCUUUCUACCCUUUUACUCACUAUUUUUAUCACUCGUUUGAAACUAUUGAAAGAUAUUUUAAAAAUGUUUUACUAAAUUGAGUUAUUUUUACGAGUUUUGUUGAUUUAUUGUAUUAAUUCUGCACAUAUAUUGUUUUGUUGUGGUGCUAUGAUGUGAAAUUACCUGUUUCUUACAACUCAAGUGUUUUUACUUUUAUUACUUACUGAGUUGAUGUACUUACAUUACUCUCUGCACCUUGUGUGUAGAUACAGGAGUCUCGGGGCGCGAUAGUGAGUGCUGAUAAGUCUUCCAGCAUGUCUCCGGAGUUGACUAGGUAGCUGUUUGGCGUUUGCAUCCUAGUGCUUCUCCUUCAUAUCUUAUUCAGAUUGUCGUAGUAUUUUAUUUUCUAACUAUGCUGUCUUUUCUUAUUCUUAGAUGAGUUGUAGUUGCUCAUGACCGGUGACACUCUGAUGUCGGGCUUGUGUUAUAUUUUUGCACUGCUUAUUUUAGCUUAUAUUAUGAAAUUUUAGCUAAAGAAUGGCUUAAAAUGACUUAUAAUAAAUUUCUGGUUGGUUUUGGGGUUUGGUCGGCUGGCCUAGUUUCACGUUAGGCGCCAUCACGAUCAGGUCAGUUUUUGGGUCAUGACAAGUUGGUAUCGGAGCCUAGGUUACAUAAGUCUCAUAAAUCAUGAGCAGGUUUAGUAGAGUCUCGCGGAUCGGUACAGAGACGUCUGUACUUAUCCUCGGGAGGCUGCAGAACCUUUACGAAAACUUUAUAUUUUUGAAUUCCUGUCGUGCGAAUCUGUUGAUUCUAGUACUAAACUUUUGUUAUUCUAUUUCUCUCACAAAUGGUGAGGACACGUGCAACUGGACAGGACGGACAACCACCAGUACCACAAGCUAGCGCUACCAGAGGCCGAGGCCGUGGUAGGGGUAGGGGUAGGGAUGUAUCGCGCAUAGCAGCUAGGGAAGCACCUGCAAAUCCACUAGUCGCCCCAGUUCAUGAUCAAGUCCCAAUUGUGGGAGCUCUAGCAGCACCAACUCAGGCACUAGCUGUGCCCAUUGUGAUUCCAGGCCUUCAGGAGGCCCUGGCCCAGAUUCUAUUGGUGUGCACUGGCCUAGCUCAGGCGGUCUUAGUUACUACAGCCACAACUACUUCUCAGGCUGGGAGAGGAACUCAGACCCCCGCCGCUUACACACCUGAGCAGGUCGUGCUGGUACUUCAGACACCGGGGGCACCUCCAGCCCAGCUGGUUGCAGUUGCUCAGAAAUAUGUAGCUCCUUUUAUGCCAGAGGACGAGCAACACAAAUUGGAGAGGUUCGGUAGACUUCAGCCUCCGAGUUUUAGUGGUGCAGAGGGCGGUGAUGCCCAAGGUUUCUUGGACAAGUGUCAGAGGAUGCUUCAGACCGCAGGUAUUCUGGGGACCAGUGGGGUCUCAUUCACUACUUUCCAAUUCUCCGGGGCUGCACUUAAUUGGUGGGAGGCUUAUGAGAGGUGUAGGCCGGUUGGCGUAGCACCCCUUUCUUGGCAGCAGUUCUCCAUUCUCUUUCUGGAGAAGUUUGUACCUGAGUCUUGCCGAGAGGAGCUGCGCUGACAGUUCGAGCAGCUUCGUUAGGGCCACAAAUGUGUUACACAGUAUGACAAGUGGUUUUUUGAGUUGGCUCGUCAUGCGGUCUGGUUGGUUCCCACAGAUCGAGAGAGGAUCAGAAGGUUUAUAGAUGGCCUCAGCUUUUAGCUUCGAUUGAUUAUAACUAGAGAGAGAGAGUAUUUGGUGCUACUUUUGAUGAGUUUGUUGACAUAGCUCGACAGAUUAAGAUGGUUCGUGGUCAGGAGAUGAUAGAGAGGGAGGCUAAGAGGCCUCGUGGUUAGGGUGUAUUUAGUGGUACUCCUCAUGGGGGUCAGUUUCAGCACGGCAAAGCCAUCUAUUCAGGCAUGCUCAGUCAGCUCGCCCAGGUUAUCGUGAGGCAUCAUCGGGCCAUGGUUCUCACAGUUCUCAUCAGGGCCAUUUAUCAAUCAGUGCCCUUCCAGCCUAGAGUUCGUCCCGUGCUCCAUUAGUUCAGGUCUCUUCUAUGCUAGGUUCUUCUGCUAGUCAUCCCGGUGCUAAGGGUUCCCUUCAGUCCCUGUCUCCAGCACCUGGGGGUUGUUAUGAGUGUGGAGAGUUGGGUCACAUAUGGAGGCAGUGUCCUCGUCAUCUUAGGGAUUCAUCUCAGAAGAGGAGUCAGCUAUCAACUUCAGCACCAAUUACUUCACCACCCACCCACCCAGCUAGGGAUAGAGGACAGUCAUCUAGGGGUCGCCACAGAGGGGGAGGUUGAUCAGGUAGUGGUCAGGCCCAUUUCUAUGUAGUCCCAGCUAGACCUGAUGCUAUUGCUUCAGAUGAUGUGAUUACAUAUAUUGUCUUAGUUUGCCACAGAGAUGCCUCUAUGUUAUUUGAUCCCAGUUUUACUUUUUCAUAUUAGUCAUCAUAUUUUUCUCGUUAUUUGGAUAUGCCCCAUAAGUCUCUUGUUUCAUCUGUUCGUGUAUCUACUCCAAUGGGCGAUACUAUUAUUGUGGACCGCGUAUAUCGGUCGUGUGUGGUGACUAUUGGGGGUUUGGAGACCCGAGUGGACCUUCUAUUGCUUUGUAUGAUGGACUUUGAUGUGAUAUUACGCAUGGAUUGGCUAUCUCCAUGUCAUGCUAUUUUGGACUAUCAUGCUAAGACAAUGAUGUUGGCUAUGCCGGGUGUGCCACAGAUUGAGUGGCGAGGUUCGACUGAUUUUGUUCCCAGUAGGGUGAUUUCAUUUUUGAAGGCCCAACGGAUGAUUAGGAAAGAUUGUUUUUCAUCCUCAGCUUUUGUGAGGGAUGUCAGUAUCGAGGCUCCUACCAUUGAUUCAGUCCCGGUAGUGAGGGACUUUUCGGAUGUGUUUCCUGCAGACCUGUCGGGCAUGCCACCGGAUAGGGAUAUUGGUUUUGGUAUUGAUCUAGUGCUGGGCGCUCAUCCCAUUUCUACUCCACUGUAUCUUACGGCACCAGUGGAGUUGAAGGAGCAGCUCCAGGAACUCCUUGAUAAGGGGUUUAUUCGGCAUAGUGUGUCGCCUUGGUGUGCGCCUGUUCUAUUUGUGAAGAAGAAGGAUGGCACGAUGAGGAUGUGCAUUGACUACAGGCAAUUGAACAAAUUUACAAUCAAUAACAAGUAUCGUUUGCCUCGUAUCGAUGAUUUAUUUGACCAGCUUCAGGGAGCGAAAGUUUUCUCCAAGAUUGAUCUCCAUUCAGGGCAUCACCAAUUGAAGAUUAGGGACUCGUAUAUUCUUAACAUAACUUUUGAGAGCUGUGUUGAAGCGAUUGAGGGAGGAGAAGCUUUAUGCAAAGUUCUCCAAAUGUGAGUUUUGGGUGGUGUCUAGUGAGGGUAUUCAGGUUGAUCCAAAGAAGAUAGAGGUGGUUCAGAGUUGGUCCAGACCGUCCUCAUCCAUAGAGAUUCGUAGCUUUCUUGGUUGGGCGGGUUAUUACCAUCGGUUCGUUCAGGGAUUUUCAUCUAUAGCAUCAGCCUUGACCAAAUUGACUUAAAAGGGUGCUCCAUUCAAGUGGUUGGAUGAGUAUGAGGCGAGCUUUCAGAAGCUCAAGGCUGCCUUAACCACAACUUCAGUGUUAGUUUUGCCAUCAGCUUCAGGUUCAUAUACAGUGUAUUGUGAUGUUUCAAGAGUUGGUAUUGGGUGUGUGUUACUGCAUGAGGGUAGAGUGAUUGCUUAUGCUUCUCGUUAGUUGAAGCCCCACGAGAAGAACUACCCCAUUCAUGAUUUGGAACUGGCCGCCAUUGUCCAUACAUUGAAGAUUUGGAGGCAUUAUCUCUAUGGUGUGUCUUGUAAGGUGUUUACGGAUCAUCGUAGCCUCCAGCACUUGUUCAAAUAGAAAGAUCUCAAUUUGAGACCACAGAGAUGGUUAGAGCUGCUAAAGGACUAUGAUAUUACCAUCUUGUACCAUCCGGGGAAGGCAAAUAUAGUGGCCUAUGCCUUGAGUGGGAAGGUGGUGACUAUGGGCAGUCUUGCAUUUAUUCCUAUUGGGGAGAGACCUCUUGCAGUUGAUGUUCAAGCCUUGGCCAAUUGGUUUGUGAGGUUGGAUAUUUCAGAGCCCAGUCGGGUCUUAGCUUGUAUGGUUUCUCGGUCUUCCUUGUUCGAUCGCAUCAGAGAGCACCAAUAUGAUGAUCCUCAUUUGCUUGUCCUUAAGGACAAAAUUUAGCAUGACGAAGCCAGAUAUGUUAAGGAUGCAGGGCUGGAUAUGUGUGCCCAAUGUAGACGGGCUUCGGGAGUUGAUUCUGGAGGAGGCCCAUAGCUCGCGGUAUUCCAUCCAUCCGGGUGCCGCGAAGAUGUAUCAGGAUUUGAGACAAUAUUAUUUGUGGAAGAGAAUGAAGAAGGACAUUGUGGGGUUUGUAGCUCGGUGUCUCAAUUGUCAGCAGGUGAAAUAUGAGCAUCAGAGACCGGGUGGCUUGCUUCAGCAGAUGGAUAUUCCAGAGUGGAAGUGGGAGCGGAUCACCAUGGAUUUUGUAGUUGGACUCCCAUAGACUUUGAAGAAGUUCAAUGCUAUUUGGGUGAUUGUGGAUCGGCUGACCAAGUCCGCGCACUUCAUUCCUAUGUUUACUACCUAUUCUUCAGAGCGGGUUGCAGAGAUCUAUAUCCGAGAGAUUGUUCGGUUGCAUGGUGUCCCAAUUUCUAUUAUUUCUGAUAGAGGUACUUAGUUUACUUCACAGUUUUGGAGGGCCGUGCAGAGAGAGUUGGGUACUCAGGUUGAGUUGAGCACAACGUUUCACCCUCAGACGGACGGGCAGUUCGAGCGCACUAUUCAGAUAUUAGAGGACAGGUUCCAAGCAUGUGUCAUUGAUUUUGGUGGUUCGUGGUAUCAGUUUCUACUGCUUGCGGAGUUUUCAUAUAACAACAAUUAUUAGUAGAGUAUUCAGAUGGCUCCAUAUGAGGCUUUAUAUGAGAGACAGUGUAGAUCUCCAAUUAGUUGGUUUGAGCCGGGUGAGGCUAGGCUUUUGGGUACAUACUUGGUGCAGGAUGCUUUGGACAAGGUAAAGGUGAUCCAAGAGUAGCUUUGUACAGCGCAGUCGAGACAAAAGAAUUAUGCGGACAGGAAGGUUCGUGAUGUGUCCUACAUGGUUGGGGAGAAGGUUCUAUUAAAGGUUUCACCCAUGAAGGGUGGUAUGAGUUUUGGGAAGAAUGGUAAAUUGAGUCCUCGAUUUAUUGGGCCUUUUGAGGUGCUUCAGAGGAUUGGGGAGGUGACUUAUGAGCUUGCUUUGCCACCCAGCUUAUCAAGUGUGCAUCCAGUAUUUCAUGUUUUUAUAUUCCAGAAGUAUAUUGGCGAUCCGUAUUAUAUUUUGGAUUUCAACACGGUUCAAUUGGACGGUGAUUUGACUUAUAAUGUGGAGCCAGUAGCUAUUUUGGAGUAUCGGGUUCAAAAGUAUAGGUGAAAUGAUAUCUCUUCAAUGAAAGUGCAGUGGAGAGGUCAACCUGUAGAGGAGGCUACCUAAGAGACCGAGUGGGAGAUACGAAGCAGAUAUCCUCACCUAUUUGAGGAUUCAGGUAUGUUUCUUGACUCGUUCGAGGGCGAACAUUUGUUUAAGAGGGGAGGAUGUAACGACUCGGCCGGUCAUUUAAUGAGUUACCGCUCCGUUUCCCCCAUUUCUGUUUCUUUAUGCCUUGUUCAGCUUUAUUAUUUGGUAUUGGGGUGGUUGGUUCGGGUUCAGAGUGGUUUUUUAAAGAAUGAGAUACUUAGUCUCUUUUGAGUAAGCUUUAGUUGGAAAAAUCAACCGGAUGUUGACUUAUGUGAAAAAAGGUAUCGGAUGUGAAUUCCGAUGGUUCGAAUAGCUUCUUUAGGUGAUUUGGGGCUUAGGAGCAUGAUCAGAAUGUAUUUUGGAGGUCUGUGGUAGAUUCAGACUUGAAUUGGCAAAAUUGGAUUUUGGCAUUUUCCGAUUGGUAGUGAAAAUUUUGAUAUAGGGGUCGAAAUGGAAUUCCGAAAAUUGGAGUAGGUCCAUUGUGUCGUUUUUGAUGUGUGUGCAAAAUUUUAGGUCAUUUAGGCGAGGUUUGAUAGGCGUUUUGAUCGAAAGCGAAAUUUGGAAGUUUUGGAAUUCUUAGGCUUGAAUCCGAGGGUGAUUUGAUGUUUUGAUGUUGUUUUGAUCGUUUCGAAGGUUGUAACAAGUUUGAAUGAUGUUAUGGGAUGUGUUGGCAUGUUUGGUUGUGGUCCCGAGGGCCUCGGGUGAGUUUCGGGUGGUUAACGAACCAAUUCUUGGUUUUGGAGAGUUGCAGAUUUUCUGGUUUUUGAUGCAGAGGAAAUUGUUCUUCGCGUUCGCAAAGAUAGUCCCACGUUCGCGAAGAAUAGCUGGACCUAGAGGAGAAAAUGUUCGUCGCAUUCAUGAGCCUGGGGUCGCGUUUGCGUAGGUUUGGAUUCCAGUGAAUCGCGAACGCGUGAGAGGAGUCGCGUUCGCGUAGGGUAAUUGGAGCAGCUGGGGCCCCAUGAGUUUUGUGCUUCGCGUUCGUGUAGGUAAGGUCGCGUUCGCAAAGGCUUGGACAGUUGAAGCUUCGCGUUCGCGUGAAGGGAGUCACGUUUGCGAAAGAGGAAUAUUUGGUCAGUGAGUUUUUGUGCUUUGCAAACGCAAGGCUUUGACCGCGUUCACGAAGAAGGAAUUAAUGCCUGGGCAGAAUGUUUAAAUAGUUGCCUUCGCAAUUUUUGGUCCAUUUUCUCCAUUAUUGAACGGUUUGAAGCUUUUUGAGUGGGAUUGAAGAGGGAAUCGAAAGGACAAACUUGGAGGUAAGCUUUUUGAACUCAGUACUCGAUUCUAUGGUGAUUUCUACCUAAUUAGACAUGAAAUUAGUGAGAUUUAAAGCCUACAAUUGGGGAAUUAGGGCUUGAAAUUGGAGACUUUGAUUUAAGGAUUUGAGGGGUCGUUUGUGGUUGGAUUUUGAUGUAUUUGGUAUGUAUGAACUCGUGAGAGUGUAAGAAUUCUAGUUUUGUAAUUUUUAUCGGAAUCCGAGAUGUGGGUCGGGUUUGGCCAAUUUCGAGAUUUUUGAUGUAAUUCGAUUAUUUUUGCUUGGGCUUUGUUCCCUUAGGCGUGUAUUAAUGGUAUGAUACUGAUUUUGGUUAUAUUUGGAGCAAUUGGAGGUCGAUUCGAGAGGCAAAGGCANCGCGGGCUNNNNNNNNNNNNNNNNNNNNNNNNNNNNNNNNNNNNNNNNNNNNNNNNNNNNNNNNNNNNNNNNNNNNNNNNNNNNNNNNNNNNNNNNNNNNNNNNNNNNNNNNNNNNNNNNNNNNNNNNNNNNNNNNNNNNNNNNNNNNNNNNNNNNNNNNNNNNNNNNNNNNNNNNNNNNNNNNNNNNNNNNNNNNNNNNNNNNNNNNNNNNNNNNNNNNNNNNNNNNNNNNNNNNNNNNNNNNNNNNNNNNNNNNNNNNNNNNNNNNNNNNNNNNNNNNNNNNNNNNNNNNNNNNNNNNNNNNNNNNNNNNNNNNNNNNNNNNNNNNNNNNNNNNNNNNNNNNNNNNNNNNNNNNNNNNNAGGUGACACACACGUUAGAUGACGGGUGUGGGAUCGUGCAUCGUUGGGGAUUGUGACUUGGUCUGUCCCGUACGACUAUUAACUCACGCAUUUGAUUGAAAAUAGUUUGAAAUCAUUGUGUUUUGGAAAGUAUUACUAUGUUUUGGGCUGAAUGCCAUAUUUGGUCAUCGUGCCAACUAUUUUGGACCCUUAGGGGAUUUUUUUACUAUUAUUCCUCACUGUUUUGAUCUUAUAUUUUUACUCAGUCAUGCUGUAUUCUACUGUUUUCAUAACUCUGCCGCAUUUAUUCGUUUUGACAUUUUAAAUGAUGUGUUGGGCUGACCAUCAUGUUUUACUAUUACCCGAGUGGCUUGAGAUGUUUCGAACUGAGUGAGUCUGAGGGCUUGUGUUGUGAGGAUUGCUAUGGGAUCGGGCUGCGCGCCGCAACAUGUACACUGAUUUGUAAUAUAUGAGAGGCUGAGAGCCUGAUUUGUUAUGCCACGAGAUGGCUUGUGAUAGCGCUUGGGCUGUAGGAGCCCCUCCGAGUCUGAACACCCCCAGUAAGCACGGGUACACAGUGUGAGAGAUGUGAUAUUGCCUGAGGGCCUGAUGUUGUUUCAUGUUGUUACCCGAGGGGCUGAUUACGAGUGAUUGUGAGGUAGCCCGAGGGGCUGGUUUCUGUUAAUAUUUUGCCCAAGGGGCGGUUGUGGUACAUGUUUUGCCCGAGGGGCUGUUUAGGCUUUCUACUCUUUUACUCACUGUUUUCAUCACUCGUUUGAAACUAUUGAAAGAUGUUUUAAAAAGGUUUUACUGAACCGAGUUGUUUUCUUGAGUGCACAUAUACUGUUUUGUUGUGGUGCUAUGAUGUGAAAUUACCUGUUUCUUAUUGCUCGGCUAAUUUUACUUUUAUUACUUACUAAGUUGGCGUACUCACAUUACUCCCUGCACCUUGAACCAGGAGUCUCGGGGCGCGAUAUUGAGUGCUGAUAAGUCUUCUAGCAGGUCUCCAGAGUUGACUAGGUAGCUGCUUGGCGUUCGCAGCCCAGUGCUUCUCCUUCCUAUCUUAUUCAGAUUGUCAUAGUAUUUUAUUUUUGGACUAUGUUGUCUUUUCUUAUUCCUAGACGAGUUGUAGUUGCUCAUGACUGGUGACACCCUGAUGUCGGGCUUGUGUUAUAUUUUCGCACUGCUUAUUUUAACUUAUAUUAUGGGAUUUUAGCUAAAGAAUGGCUUAAAAUGA